AAGGAUCAUUAUUGAAUGAACUUGGCGUGGUUGUUGCUGGCCCUCUCGGGGGCAUGUGCACACCCGCCAUCUCCAUCUCUCCACCUGUGCACCUCUUGUAGACCUGGAAUAGACUUUCCGAGGCAACUCGGUUGGGAGGAAUGCUGUCGCUUUGCGUCAGCUUUCUUUGGACUUCCAAGCCUACGUUUUUCAUAUACCCAUAGUAUGUAACAGAAUGUGUCAUUUGGGCCUCAGUGCCUAUAAACCAUAUACAACUUUCAGCAACGGAUCUCUUGGCUCUCGCAUCGAUGAAGAACGCAGCGAAAUGCGAUAAGUAAUGUGAAUUGCAGAAUUCAGUGAAUCAUCGAAUCUUUGAACGCACCUUGCGCUCCUUGGUAUUCCGAGGAGCAUGCCUGUUUGAGUGUCAUUUAAAUUCUCAACCUUAUUAGCUUUUGCUGAUAAUGGCUUGGAUGUGGGGGGGCUUAUCUUUUGCUGGCUUCUUUCACAGAGGUCAGCUCCCCUGAAAUGCAUUAGCUGGUGCCCCGCGUGGACUGUCUAUUUGGUGUGAUAAUUAUCUACGCCGUGGAUGUCUGCAAUUGGUUUUGGCACUGCUUCUAACUGUCUGUUCAUUUGGACAAUACAUGACAAUUUGACCU
Molecule: ribosomal RNA, 635 nt
Filed under: Hymenogaster griseus
Lineage: Eukaryota; Fungi; Basidiomycota; Agaricomycetes; Agaricales; Hymenogastraceae
Description: eukaryotic LSU rRNA
Rfam family: 5.8S ribosomal RNA (bases 253-406)
Source: RNAcentral